AAAAAGCGGCGGGGCUAACACAUGCAAGUCGAGCGAGACCUUCGGGUCUAGCGGCGGACGGGUGAGUAACGCGUGGGAACGUGCCCUUUUCUGCGGAAUAGCCUCGGGAAACUGAGCGUAAUACCGCAUACGCCCUUUGGGGGAAAGAUUUAUCGGAAAAGGAUCGGCCCGCGUUGGAUUAGGUAGUUGGUGGGGUAACGGCCUACCAAGCCGACGAUCCAUAGCUGGUUUGAGAGGAUGAUCAGCCACACUGGGACUGAGACACGGCCCAGACUCCUACGGGAGGCAGCAGUGGGGAAUCUUAGACAAUGGGGGCAACCCUGAUCUAGCCAUGCCGCGUGAGUGAUGAAGGCCUUAGGGUUGUAAAGCUCUUUCAGCUGGGAAGAUAAUGACGGUACCAGCAGAAGAAGCCCCGGCUAACUCCGUGCCAGCAGCCGCGGUAAUACGGAGGGGGCUAGCGUUGUUCGGAAUUACUGGGCGUAAAGCGCACGUAGGCGGACCAGAAAGUUGGGGGUGAAAUCCCGGGGCUCAACCUCGGAACUGCCUUCAAAACUAUUGGUCUGGAGUUCGAGAGAGGUGAGUGGAAUUCCGAGUGUAGAGGUGAA
RNAcentral lists this ribosomal RNA (605 nucleotides) under Pseudomonadota bacterium. RNAcentral's name for it is "bacterial SSU rRNA". It matches the Rfam family "Bacterial small subunit ribosomal RNA", at positions 31 to 685 of the family's 1533-position model. Lineage: Bacteria; Pseudomonadati; Pseudomonadota. The record is from RNAcentral.